Molecule: non-coding RNA, 21 nt
Filed under: Arabidopsis thaliana (thale cress)
Lineage: Eukaryota; Viridiplantae; Streptophyta; Magnoliopsida; Brassicales; Brassicaceae
Source: RNAcentral
CUCUUGGGAGGUGCUGAGUGU